Molecule: ribosomal RNA, 889 nt
Filed under: uncultured bacterium
Lineage: Bacteria
Description: bacterial SSU rRNA
Rfam family: Bacterial small subunit ribosomal RNA
Source: RNAcentral
GUGCCAGCAGCCGCGGUAAUACGGAGGAUGCGAGCGUUAUCCGGAUUUAUUGGGUUUAAAGGGUGCGUAGGCGGGUGAUUAAGCGUGAGGUGAAAUGCCACGGCUCAACCGUGGAACUGCCUCGCGAACUGGUUGUCUUGAAUGCCCCUGCCGUGGGAGGAAUGUGUGGUGUAGCGGUGAAAUGCAUAGAGAUCACACAGAACACCGAUUGCGAAGGCAUCUCACGAAGGGGUGAUUGACGCUGAGGCACGAAAGCGUGGGGAUCAAACAGGAUUAGAUACCCUGGUAGUCCACGCAGUAAACGAUGAUGACUAACCGCUGGGCAAGUGUGUUCAGUGGCCAAGCGAAAGCGAUAAGUCAUCCACCUGGGGAGUACGACCGCAAGGUUGAAACUCAAAGGAAUUGACGGGGGCCCGCACAAGCGGAGGAACAUGUGGUUUAAUUCGAUGAUACGCGAGGAACCUUACCCGGGCUCGAACGGCAGAUGGACAAACCAGAGAUGGUGCGGCCCUUCGGGGCAUCUGUCGAGGUGCUGCAUGGUUGUCGUCAGCUCGUGCCGUGAGGUGUCGGCUUAAGUGCCAUAACGAGCGCAACCCUUGCCGCUAGUUACCAGCAUGUAGUGAUGGGGACUCUAGCGGGACUGCCACCGCAAGGUGUGAGGAAGGGGGGGAUGACGUCAAAUCAGCACGGCCCUUACGUCCGGGGCGACACACGUGUUACAAUGGGAGUUACAGCGGGGGUCUACCUGGUGACAGGAUGGGAACCUCGAAAAGCUCUCUCAGUCCGGAUCGGAGUCUGCAACCCGACUCCGUGAAGCUGGAUUCGCUAGUAAUCGCGCAUCAGCCAUGGCGCGGUGAAUACGUUCCCGGGCCUUGUACACACCGCCCGU